GCUCUUGCAGCAAUUGACACAAUCGAUGUGGCUAAUGGAGCCAGUUCCUAUCUUUAGACAGUCACAUCCACGUUCGUACUUUUAGAAUAGUUGUUGCAACGGGGAAGAGCAUUUCUGCAAUAGCAAGAUAUCAGGACCCAAUGGGCAUAGGCCGAACCAACCACCAUCACUAUUGCUUCAGGAUUAGAUAGCCAACUUCCACUCAUGAGCCUGUCGAGUCAAGUUUCAGACUGAUCAUGUAUCCCCUUGAUAUUCACUGGAUGGAAUCCCCUGUUUUACUCAAACUGAACCUUCUACAAACAUCGGAAAAGCAACAGUAGUAAAGAUGGACAGAAAUUCCAAAAAUAAGGUUAGUUCUUUUUUGUUCUGUAUCAUUCUCUUUACCGUUCCUUUUGGUACUACACUCCAAAAAAGAGGCAAUCGGAAAUAUUUAGGUCCACUGAAAAGUAAUUCUGGAGCUCGCAGAGUUCUCAUUUUUCAGAUUUGCAGUAGUAUUCGCUUUUGGUUUACAUGAUAUUGGUUGUAUCUCCCUGACAACUGCUCUUCGGUUGGUGUAGGUGUUUUUUAUGGAUGUAGCUGGUUGCGAUGAAGCUAAACAAGAAAUAAUGCUAUCACUUAUUACCUUUGUCCUUCAAAUUUGAGUAUAGGCCUGUGAAAUAAUGAAUAUUUGUGUCUCAUUGCUCCAGCAUGGUCAAUAAAGAUAUGUUGACCCAGGAAAUGUGGGUUUAUCAUAGGUCCUACU
Molecule: long non-coding RNA, 742 nt
Organism: Triticum aestivum (bread wheat)
Lineage: Eukaryota; Viridiplantae; Streptophyta; Magnoliopsida; Poales; Poaceae
Exons: 3
Source: RefSeq, a predicted model, not a curated record